Long non-coding RNA from Mesocricetus auratus (golden hamster), 4495 nucleotides. RefSeq lists it as uncharacterized. The transcript is spliced from 4 exons. The record is from RefSeq and is a predicted model, not a curated record. Lineage: Eukaryota; Metazoa; Chordata; Mammalia; Rodentia; Cricetidae.
GACCAUCCACACCCUCUGGAAUGGAGGCCUUAUUUAGCUCUUCAGAGGACUCGGCUAGGCGCUCCCACCCCAGCCUGGCCCUGCUGCCUGCAGUCUCCACCAGAGGAAGCAGGACACCCAUGCACUGUUAGAAGUGAGAACACUGGCCGCCCACUCCUUGAAUAGUUCCCUCAGAUUUUUAUAACUUUCACAGGCUCUGUGGAGAUGCCAAAGUCCUCCAGCCCAGCCACAAAAAGUGAAAACUCUUCUUGGAAUGCAGAAGUGCAGCUGCAGGACCCUGAAUUACAGUUGGCCCCUGAAGUGCAUGCCUGCGUUCGCAGAACCAAAUCUCAGAGCACACAGAGGUCUGCAGCCAACUCUGGCCUCUCCCCCAGGACUGGGAUUUCUUCUGAUCUGGGGGCCUGUGAGAAGCAGAAGGGCACAGUUACAGGUGAGAGUCAAGUGUCCGGGAAGUGGGGGACCUCUGGGAAACGGACCAGUUAGGAGUGGAAACAGCAAGAGGAAGUCCCCCGGACUGCCCAGAACUUGUUCACCUGCACAAUGAUGGGCCCUCCAUGGCACCUUGGAGGUCAGGCUCCCUCCGGGCAAAGAAAAAGUGCUGUGCCCCGACAGGGUCCCCAGGACACCCAACUAACUUGAAGGCUCUGGCUCAGAAGCUGAUGGGAGUAUAUACUUGGCACCGCGGGACACAGAAUCUACAAGAGAGGCUACUCACGACCCUCGAUCCCCCUGAAUCACACGUCCCGCGGACCCCAGCGCCCCUGAGACGCACUCACAGGAUGGAGGUCUGCGGCGACACGGCGGGUACGGCCUCCAGCAACAGAUGCAUGCAGCGCACGGUGGUACGGAAGCACAGGCAGCGGCUUGGACAGCCUGCCCCUGGCUUCGAGGCGACCACCGCCAUAGCCCCCAAGGUGAAGCAGAGCACGAGCGCCUGUAGGCAGCGGCGCAUAGGGCACGCGGCCAUGGUAGAUGGCGCGGACAGACGCUGGGGACGCGUGGACCGCCGCGGAGGCCUCGGCGGGCGCGUCCACCGCCGGCUCCCAACUGAGUCCUCAGGUCCCGGGCCCACGUCCCAGCUGUGCGCGGGGGCCGGGGGGGGCGCCAGCUGUGCACAUGCGCGUGACUCCUCCCCUCUGGCCUCACCGAAGGCGGGGGCUGGGCAAGCACCAGGGCCUUGGUGUUGUAGGAUCCCCGCGACCCUUCCCGAGAGUGCAGCUGGGCCUCCCUGGACAGCACGACCAGAGCGCACAGACUCCACAGUGGGGGUCGCCUGGAAAUGCAGAGGUGAGGGCUGGAACCGGGUUUGGAUCUCUGAGUCUUCUUUUAAACCUGCCGUGCGGCAACUAAGACACCCCACAUCCCAAACCACACUUAUGGCCGUAUGCAAGGCUUUUGUUGCUGGUGAUGCCUUGUUUUGAACGCUUAAAGGUGUUGGGUGUUCUAGGAUGUGAGCUUUCACACUUUUUCUCAGUGCCCCACCCCUGCUCCCACACAAAAGCAUCUACCUCUGAUUUAAGUUUUCCUCAUUCCUAGUGGAGAAACCGAGGGCCAGCCCCGUGGCGCACAGCUUGUAGCUAGGCUGUGCUGCAGAAUUGGAAGUUCCCUGAGGGAGGCCUCCAACACUGGCUACCUGUGAGGAGUCCCUGCCCACCUGGUGCUUUCCCUGGUAGGAAAGACUGAGAACACCUGUGGCCACCUCAGCUUGCCUUUACACAGGCUGCAUAAAACAAGGGAAGUGCUGAGGUUAACAUGAGGGAGUGCUACACGAGAUCAAAUGCCUUAUACUCUUCUCCGAUUCUCCCUGGGGUUCCAGUCUCUCCAAUUCUUCAGGCCGGGAGGUCCAGGGUAGACAACACAGCCAUAGGAACGGAGUUCAUGGACUUCAGAGUUGGAAGUUGAGCUUGAUUUCCAACUUGACUGAACUGACCCCCUUAAGAGACCACUGUAAAAUUCCAUCUAAGGGAAAUAUCAGAAGAGUUACCUAAAAAGAGAAGACCCAUUAGGAACUAGAGUGAUACACAUGGGCUGGCAGUGUAAUAGCACAGAUGUGAAGAGGCCCAUCUACCCAAGUGUUCUCUCUGUGAUUUCUGGCUACUUGAAGGGAGCUGCCCAGCUCUGCCUGGUCCUUCUGGACAGACUGACAUCUCUGAAACUGAGCCAACACCGCUCUUUCUCCCUUAAGUUGUUUUGCCUCCGUGUUUUGUCACUUUGAUGGAAAACCGACACACCAGACAUGCCUUGACCUGCAGCAAACUACUCUGUUUCCACUGUUCCCAGGCAGAUAGUCUCUCUGAUGGGAGGAGUGUUUCUGGGAGUCCAGCAUCAGGGUGCUGCUGAGGGACGGAGUCACACUCAGGAGCCGUCACAAGGCUCCAGCUGCACUGCUGGCAGACUUUACCACCAAGGAACUGAAGGCCCGUUGGAGGAGGCUCGAGUUCCUAAUCACUGGGCCCUCUCCAUGGCUGGCACAUCUCCAACCAUCUGCAGACUGUAUUCCAGGGGGAGAACAGGAUUAAGGCCUUCCUGCUAAGCCUGAGCAUGCCAUCACUUUCCAUGCUCUCUUGAGUAGCUCAGGAGAGUGAGAAUAACUGAACCACAAAGCCUCCAGAGAGGCUGCCCACCCCGGGAGACCUUCACUCUGCCCUGAGCUCCUACAGAGCUAGAGUUAAGUUUCCAUGAGAGCAGAAUUUCCAGCCCUGUCACGUGCCCUCUAGAGGCUCCUGGAAGACUCACACCUCCAUACUGACCUCUGGGUGACUUUUCUGACUCUUGUAAGUCCUGAGUUCUGGGGUUACAGGCAUGCACCGCCACAUCUGGUUUAUGUAUUGCUGGAGAAGGAACCCAGGGCCAUUCCUAGCUUCCCAAGGCUAGCAGCUGUCAUCCAGCUCAUCUGAAACCUUCUCUUCCUGAAGACACCUCCGCUGCUCACCUGCUUGGGUCCUUCCAAAGCAGUGACAAUGGUCAGACCCUGGCUCCGGUGCUUCUGAACACACAGCCUUUGAUUGUUUCUAUCCUGAGUCUUCACUAAUUUCCACUCUGGAACCUCUCAAAUCACUUGGGAAAAUUACCCACCCAGUCCACUGAGGUUUGGAACCCCGAGUUUGGCUUGGGCCCAGGAUAGGAUUGGGAGCUGUCAAAGUGCAGAGUUUCCUUUGGGUGUUUGAGCAAUUGCUUUAAGUUUGUCCUUAAUGAAACCUGUUCUCCCAGACUGCCGCUGGCUAUUCUCCAUGCCAAGGUGGACCAAGGUCAGCAAGGCUGCCCUUACCCUUUGCUGACAGGUAGGUCCUCGCCUGUGUUUUAAGAUGUAUUUACUUAGAUUUCAGUAUUUGGGGUUGUGUCUCUGUCAGGUGUCAUCCCAGUGGAGGAGGGAGUAAGGUGGCAGCAUUACCUCACUGUGAUGGUUUGGGCAUGGGCAGACGUCUGCUGUAUUUUGGAAAAGUGAAGAGGGAGUAACAUGGUCCCCUGCCCAGGGUUCUCUCCUGGGAUAUUUUCUAAGCUGCAGACUGCUCUCAGAUAGGCCUUUGGUAACCUGAUAUUUGGGGCAGCUGUUGCUCUGGGACCUAGAGGACCCUACUCUGAGGUGACUGGAAAGACCCAACUUAGGUUGGUGACUGGAGAAGUUAGUAAGGUCCUUUUUUUCCCCAGCCCACUCCAUACAUGGUCUUAGGUGUGUUUUUUGUAUUCACAAAUGUUAGAUGAAAAAAUUAUUUUAGCAUCUACUGCCUCUAUCUCACAUAUGACCUGAAGUAAAAAACUUACUCUGAACCCGAGACAAAUGAACAGUUGCUGAGACUUCUCUUAGCUUCCCAGCUGUGGCCCGCACCUGGAAGAUCACCCUGGUCUUUUCAUGAUUUCUGCUGACCACUCUGGCAGGAUGGGACUGCGUCUUGGGGAAACAAUGUUGGGGCUCAACAGGACCUACCACCGCAACAUGGUGUCAGAGCGAACCCAGACCCUGCAUUGUUUAUCUGUUGCUGUGAUAGAACACCACGAGCAAAAGCACUUCAUGAAAGAAAGAACUUACUCGGACUUACUGGCUCCAGAAGCAGAGCCCAUCAAGGCCAGGGAGGCGUGGCAGCAGGCACCAAAAGCAGGAAGCUGGCAGAUCACAUCUUGAGCUGAAAACACACUGGAAGUGGGGUGAGGCUAUGAAUACUCAAGUUCUGUCCCCAGUAACACACUUCCUCCAGCAAAACUCCAUCUGCCAAAGGUUUCACAGCCUCCCUGAACAGCUACACCACCUGGGACCAUGUGUUCAAAUACAGGGGCCUGUGGGGACACAUCUCUGCUAACAACCACCACGGACCACAGCAGGACAGAGAAGCUGUGACUUGCCUGAGGCCAGGUCACUUCUUAUACCUUGGAAAGUGACAGAUUUGUGAUUCCCAUGCCCUAUCUCCUCCCUCCUGUUUUCCUUCCAUUUAUAGAUUUCCUUCAUCAUUAAGCCUCCCUUCCCCCCAUGCAUCAUGCUGAUUUUGUUGGUACUAGUUUA